UUUCCACAGGGAAUUACUUUGUCUCUCUCCUCCCCUUGCACUGGGUUUUAAACACUGAUGGUGGCUGUAGCUUUUCUCAGAGUGAGACUUUUAUUACAGAAUAAAGCCUUGCCAUUACAUGCCAACAGACAUUUUGCUGCUAUUGUUGAUUCUUCUCAGCCCUAGAAAACUCUGUAACAGUAAAACCUCUUUUUCGGUGGUGGAAGCAGAACCUCUGCUAGGCAGCUUUAUCUGUGUAGCUAUAGGAGCAACUUGUUUGGUGCUUGACUUCAGCUUUAAUAUAAUGAGACCAAUGCAGAUUUUUAGAACUAAGUUAAUCAUCUAUCUCCUGCGUUUUCUUCUUUGGAGGGAAACAUAGCAGGUACAAAAAUCCGGAGAUGAGAAUCAGGAAAAGGCCAAAGCCCAGAAGGAUCAAAGGAUCUUUUGGAAAAAAAGAGGCUGUUCUUAUAUCCCUUGUUUACAGGGACACCUGUGUGGGGCAGGUGCACAGAGGGGAUUUAGUAUCACCAGGAGGAAGCAACGCAGUAAAGGGAAUCAUCAGCAUGUCUGUCUUUCCCUCUGUUCUUCUCACCAGCCAUAGGGAAAUACACCAGUGCCUGACCUGCCCACAGACACCCUGGUCCUUUGGUCUGGAGCAGCCUAUGUUUUCAUGGUCACUUCUAAAAGAAGGAAAGCCAGCCAGCAAUGACUGUGCCUGGUGUUUAAACAGUUCUGCAGUUCUGACAACUGAUCCCUUGGUGUUGUUGAAACCAAAUUAGUCUUGGGAAAGAUGCUGUCAGAUGAAAUCCUCAGACACAAGGGAUUAAAUUCAGUACCUAAAGCCCAGGCUGGAGGGGGAAGGGGUAAGCAUUUCACAUUUGUUACAAGUCAAGUCCAUAGAUCAGUUGAGUUAGGAGAUAUUUUCUCAUGAAAAUCUCAAGCAGAGGCUGGAAAACUAUCCCUCACAUUCUGGUGUCUGUCUUAAUCCACGCCAAGGUUAGCUCAAGCUCUGUUCAGACUGGAUAUGGCAUCCUUUGUAUGUCUGUGCCUCUUCUGUAGCUUAAAUAGCAUUGCCCAAGUGGGUCAUGAAGUCUCUGCAGGGCAUUCCCUAUCACAGAGGUAGAAACUACCUGUACAGUUAAUUGCAAUCACUUAGACUUUUUAGGACCCUAAUCCAUUUGACUGGCACUCCGCAUGUUUGCCUAUAUCUACCGUACUAUGAGGGCAGCCAGUUAAGAGAGAUAGGGAGAGAAAGAGGCUGAGUUAAAGAAAGCAUCUUCCUUUUCCUAGAAGUACCAUAAAGGUAAUUUCUCCAUCUUGUUUUUCCUGUGCUCAUUUAAUCAUCUCAGCUACCAAAAGAUGUGUUUCGCCAAUCAGAGCUGUCCUUUCUGGCCUUCAAACAGCAAAAUACCUCCUCUUUCCUUUUUUCCUACUCUGCGGAACAAGGGGGUAAAACCAGAGUUUGGUUUCAUAUUUCUAGGUUGCAGUACUUAAACUCUGUACAAGUUUCCAUCUUAACCACUUUGGGGGAUGAAACACCCUCUUCUGGGGUGGAAUGGAAGGGGGAGAAAGAGAAGGGAGAGGAAAGCUUAAAGCAAAAAUAAAUUGAAACUGCUACUUAUGUCAUGCAAUGGAUUAGAUGACUAUUCCCUGUGUUCACAAGUUUGCCUAGGUUAUCCAGCCUGUUUCUAUCAUCUCUUUCAGUCCUGUGCUAUAAUUUCACAGAAAUGUGAACUCAGUAGUUACUAGGCAGUUAUACCUUGGCUGAUUGGGACAUGACACGUGGUAUAUGCACUUUGCACGCUUGGAAACCACCUUCAUUUUCUAGGAGAAGUACCAUGAAGGUAAUUUCUCUAACUUGUUUUUCCUCUGUGCUAGUUUAAUCAGCUUAGCUAUUAAAAGAUAACACAGGUUUAGGGCUAUCAUUAGCCCAGCAUGGUCAUGUGGUUAUGCUGGUAGUUAGCACUGUUGCUGAACUCAGUGUUACUUUUUCUUUUAAUAGGUAACUACAUAACAAAAACAGUGCCCACUGCACAUCUAAAGAAGCAAAAGAAAAAUGAACACUCCCUGAACCUGCAUUCAAUUAUUUCUUCAGCAGCUUUCUUCCCUUCUUUCUCCUCUGUGAUAUUAAUAUCUAUAUCCAAAGCAUUUAACUGCUUGAAUUGGGAUUAAGACACUCCAGUCUAAAAUUACAAUCCUGCAAUCCUCCUGCUCUGCAAGUUUGAGGUAUCAAAAAUCACUGUGAGGGCUCUAAGAGGGCCAAGCAACUCGCGUUUGAAUCAUGAUGAAGAAACUCUGUAUUGCUUAGCCUGGGUCCCCAGGAGCUCAGUUUGGUCAGCAUCCCAAGUCCUAGGCAUGCUUCCAGGAUACUGGACUCUUCACUCUUACAGUCCUUGGUGAUGUUUUCUUUUGAAGCAUAACCACAAGGAGAAGAAAGAGGCAAUGGGUGCUCCUUACAUACAGAAGUCUAGGUCUUAGUCCACUUAAUGAGACUGCAGGAUACCAAGUUCCAUUUCCUUCUUUCCCCAUGGGAAUUUCAACCUGCACCUCUGUAGUGUACCUAUAACCACCAGAUUACAAACUCUCCUGGGAUGGGAAUGUGCUGCCAACCUCCUGUCAGGCCAGUAGGACCAGAGUAAGAUGAGUGCUGCUGUAGCCCAGUCAUCGAAGCCAACUUCCCUGUGUCUGCUCUGGGUGCUGCAAGUGUAUGUUGUCUACUGAGCGUUUAAUAGAUAUUUAAUUCAGUUCUGCUCACUUUUAUCCCUAGACUUCGGUUUUAGCCUCAAAUGUUUGUUGGAAACUAUACUUCAUUCUUUAUUCUGCUUACAGUACGAUCUGUUUUAUUAUUAGAGCAUAAUUUGGUUCUUAUGUUAAUAAUUGGUGUAACCGGGUCUUCCCCUACUCCCCAUGAUUUCUAAUUAACACUAUUACUUUUGGAUGGAAGAUAAACUGUAAACAUCCAGUCCUUUUAUCUGGACAAAAAUCCCCACAGAUCAUUGCUCAAGGGAAACCACCCUGACACAUACAUGGGGUCAGUGGUAGCACAGGAAGCAAUGUUAACACUUCUAUUUCUGCACCCAUUUUACCAUGCAAUAAAGCACAAGGAGUCUCCAACAAACUAUGUCAAGUGCCUUGUGCUGCACAGGUUUUCACCAUGCUGUACCCGAUACAUCCCUUUUUCCUCUGCUCCUUUAGAAAAUGGAUGGGAAGAAAUCAUAAGAGGUACUGAGCUAAGUUUCCUAGUUGUGCAAUACAUGCAAGAAAGACCACCCAUAUGUAUGUGCAUGUAACACAGCACAGAAACACAAAGAUACCUCAAAGAGCUCAAACCAUUUAAAAGGCCCGUACACUACACUUGUGGCAACAGGACAGAGUCAAACCUGACAGAGGAUCCCUCACAGCUCUUACUAAGUCCAAUUCACUGUUGCUAGCAUAUUGAGCAGCCCUUAAACUUACCAAAUAAAAGACAUCACAGUCUCUGGUCCACUGAGGAUUUUCUACAGGUGGAUUAGACAUACUGAUACUUGCAGGCAUUCAUCAAUGGCAAUGUAAUUGCUUUAAUUAUAGCACUGCUAUCAGCCCUCCCACAGUGAGGGAAGGCGGACAGCUAAAGCACUCAAGGCUCAGGUGAAAAUCAAAUGGGUUGGUGCCAAAGCUUCCCUCUAUGCCUAUGCUCCCUCCAGCAGGAUCACAGGGGUGGUAUGGAGGUCCCAUCCUACUCCCCAACAGAUUUGUCUCAGAAAUACUAAUAGGAUCAGUGCUGGGAAUGAGAUUAGAAAACUGAAUUUGAACAUUUUGUUUCAACUAAAUGGAUUAACUUGUGAGUUUGGUACAGCCAAACAUCCACGUUCACCCUCAGAAGCAUAACUAUGAAAUCACUGUUCAGAAAUGCUCCUUUCCUCUUUUUAAAGCUACUUAGUUUUCACAAUUUUAAUAAGAUGUUGGGCUAAACAUUAAGUCAUUAAAAUUCUUUAAAGGGCUUUAUUCUCUCCUGAGCUAUGAGGGUGAUGAAGGAUUUUGUAAGGGCUAUGGUUAAAUCAGAUGUGUUUGUGUCUCAGCUGACCUUACUCUACGAGCACUCAUGUAGUGUUAACACAGCUGGUGACCUUCUGGUGCAAGGCACCCAAUCGUCCCACUCUUUCUAGGUCUGUUCCAUAAGUGGAACUUGUCAGUGCUCAGAAUAGUUAACUACAAUCAGAUUAAAACCGGUUUAGAUGGCGGCUUCAUGCCUGAGGUGAUCAAGUGGCCAGAUGUCACCAGUGGGGAGGUUCAGCUCCAUACCUGUACGUAGGUGCUCCUGCUGCCUGCUCCUGCGGGGAAACCCAAGUCUGCAAGCUGGGUCAACUGGAAACCAGCAACUCUUCACAGGGUACCCGCCCUGUCCUGGAGGACCAAAGGGAAGACAACACGUUGAUAGGGACAGGACCAUGGUCACCCUGGCAUAGCUGGCAUAGGAGAGCACACGCUCAUGGUCUUUUAUUAUGGCUAUGCAGCAACUGGCAGUGCAAUGCUGCUGAAGGGGUGCAGUCCUGCCUCCCCUCCUCUGGUGCCAUAUCUAGCAAUUGCAAAGCCACAGGAUGAGCUGGCUUGGCAGGCUGUGCCACUGCUUGGGAAGAUAAGCUUGUUCUCCAAGGCGUGGCAGAGCUGCUGAGUCACAGAGCCCCCAGCAAAUGCUCCCCCUUGGCACCUCUGUACUUGAGUCCAACCAGCUUCAGGAGGUAGUAGCAGCUAUGGCUGAGGAGUUAAUGGUGUGCAGUGAGGAAACAUGCUCAGCAUUGGUUGAUGGGGUGAUGGUGACUGAGCAAGCUGAUUUUUUUAUUCGCAUACCACUUUAUCCUGAGGAAGUGGCUGACUUGAAUUAUUAGAGGAAUCCAUCAGAAGUGGCUGUCUCUGGAAGUGCAACAGGCAGCAGCCAU
Long non-coding RNA from Strigops habroptila (Kakapo), 4895 nucleotides. RefSeq lists it as uncharacterized. NCBI's taxonomy places the organism in Eukaryota, Metazoa, Chordata, Aves, Psittaciformes, Psittacidae. The transcript is spliced from 3 exons. The record is from RefSeq and is a predicted model, not a curated record.